UACGAAGGGGGCUAGCGUUGUUCGGAUUUACUGGGCGUAAAGCGCGUGUAGGCGGGCUUGUAAGUUGGGGGUGAAAGCCCGGAGCUCAACGCCGGAAUUGCCUUCACGACUGCAAGCCUGGACCCAUGGAGAGGCAAGUGGAAUUGCGAGUGUAGAGGUGAAAUUCGUAGAUAUUCGCAGGAACACCAGUGGCGAAGGCGACUUGCUGGACAUGUUGUGACGCUGAUACGCGAAAGCGUGGGGAGCAAACAGG
RNAcentral lists this ribosomal RNA (253 nucleotides) under uncultured bacterium. RNAcentral's name for it is "partial 16S ribosomal RNA". It matches the Rfam family "Bacterial small subunit ribosomal RNA", at positions 524 to 776 of the family's 1533-position model. The record is from RNAcentral.